UUGGAUAGCAUUCAUAUUGAUGAACAUGAAGUUGCACAGUCGUGCCAAAACUAACUUUUAUUGUUUAUUGAAAUUCACCAUAUCUUCCAAGCAUGGCAUUUUGGCACCUCGCUUAAUCCCUUAGGAUGCGCAGCAGCAAUUACCCUUUUCACAGUAGCUGUUGUCGAAACUAUAGCCAGACCAUUCGCAUGAAACCUUACACAAGGUAACAUUGUAUCCUAUCGGGUUCUCGCAUAACCGGUCAGGUUUGCACACAUCAAUCAAUGCAGUUGUACCUACGCCGAAAGUAGUAUUGCAUUCCAUUUCGGAUUAGUAAUGUAGUAUAAAUUACAUGAGUUACUCAAGAAUGUCUAAAAAACUAUGGUCUGCGUAUAUUUAUACAAAAUUUGACUGGUCUAAACAAAUGAGUGUACCUUUGUUUCUCCCAGUUGCCUCGCAUGGAAACAAAGUGGUAGACAUCAGAAGAAUUAGCAAGCACAGGGCAUUUGUGUUGUUCUUGAUAAGCGCCAUCAGAAGUGUGGGUGCCUAUUUUUCUUUUCCUCCCUUGCAAGAUAUUCCUUGAGGUUGAUGUUGCUCGUUCUAUUUGAGUCCUUAUUGUGGUAUUAUAUAGAGGCACUAUCUAAUCUCGGAGCAUCUUCAUUUCAGAAAGAAAAUGAUGGAGGAUCCAAUGUUAGUGUUGUCAUCCUUUGUAUCUAUAUGCAUAGUCAAACUACUAUUAUAAGAGUUACUGGAAUAUACCCAAAUAUAUCCUGUCAACAACUUGUUAUUAAAUGCCUACUUGUUCUUUAUAUACCAAGACAUUAAUACUAUCAUAAAAGUUAUUGGAAUAUAUAUACCAAAAUAUAGGUUGUCGACAACUAGCUAUUAAAUGCCUCUUUGUUUUUGGUAUAUACCAAGACAUUAAUACUAGGACCCCAUUAGUUGGGGGACAUUAGCUGGGGGUUGCUUCGAGCGAAAUCGUUGGAGUUGGCUCGAUUGAAAGAACCAAUUCCCUGGCGACUUUUGCGAGUGUGGCCCCAGGCCCAAAAAAAGUGGCCAACCACAACCCAUUCACCACCAGUGUAAAAUCAGUUUUAGCCUAAAACAAAAACAGAAAAUUCACAAGUUUCUAUAUUAAUAAAAGAAGUGUUGACCCAAAAUAAUAAUGUUGGCCCAUUAACAAAUUUGACAUGCUUUAUAUUUUCAUUUUCAAAAACCAAUAGGAAUAACACUGGAAGUUGCCAUCAUCGAAAACAAAAAAUUGCCAUGCUCUCAAUAAUAAAAUGAAUUGGGAAAUUCAUAAAAAAGAAAAUUAGAAUAAAAGUGGAUUUGAAAGAAAUCAUAGAUUUGAAAAAAAUGUUUAGUUUUUUAAAGAAUUCAUCGAUUUUGAAAGAAACAUAAUUUUUUAAACUGCAUCACUGUAAUAAAUAAGUUCAUGAAUUUGGAAAAAAGCUCUAACAUUUGAAAAAAUUCAUGCAUUUUAAAAAGUUCAUAGAUUUGGAAAAAAAUCAUGAAUUUAAUAAAUUGAAGGGUUUUGGAAAAAAGCUUCAUAAAUUUGGAAAAACAUGAAUUUGAUUUUUUUGUGAAUUUCAAAAUAGUUUGCUCAUUUGAAAAAAAAGAUCUAAAUAGAAAAGAAAAACUGAAUGAAAACCGGUCCAAAGGGAUAAAAAGGGAAAACCUCCCGGAAGCAUCCAAACGCUUCCUAAAACAUGACCAGAAAGCUUCUCAGAGUUUCGCAAAACUAGGGAAGGGAGUGUCCCGCUCGCGCCUUAUACGCAUAGGCCCACUAAAUCGAACACAUACAGGGACUGUGCGCAUUGUAAUAGUAACACUAUAAACGGCGCUACAAGCGCAAAAUAGGAAUUGGGCACCGAAGUAGACGAUGACCCCAUUUAUUUCUGAUCGAAGCCCCCCUACUAACUAAUUAGCCCAGAACAUCUAAUGGGCCUGGCCCAUGGCAUGUGGUGGCAUAACCAGCGUUGUCGAGCGCCGUUGUAUCUCGCCUCAUUGUCGCUACAAGUGAGGCUGCCCAAGUACCUUCAUGCAGGUUAAUUUCUUUUUUCUUCUGUUUUUUAUUCUUUUCUCUUUUUAAUAUUUAUAAAAAUAUUCAAUAUAUAUAUAUAUAUAUAUAUAUAUAUAUAUAUAUAUAUUUCAAAACAUAAAUAUAUAUAUUUCAAAAACAACAAAACUGAUAAAAAAUACGUUGUUUAAAAAAUUUGUUGGUGUAAUUUUUAAAAACUAUUGAUAGCAUUUAAAAAAAUGUCUGUGGCAUUUAAGGUUGAUGCUCCUCGUUUUAUUUGACUCCUUAUUGUGGUAUUAUAUAGAGGCACUAUCAAAUCUCGGAGAGUCUCAAUUUCAGAAAGAAAAUAUUGGAGAACCCAAUGUAGUUUUUUCAUCCUUUAUAUCUAUAUGCAUGGUCAACUCAUGUCAAUUAAUACUAUCAUAACAGUUAUUGGAAUGUACUAGGCACAACAUGGAGGUUCGAGGCCACCAUCAAAGUCGGUGAAGUUUGCGCGCUGCCGUUGUGGUGGCUAUUGCGGUGGCGACAAAGACAACAACAGCGCCUUGACAGAAACUCAGGAAGGAGCCUCUAGGAGGAGCGGCUAGGGUUUCAUCGGGCAGGAACAAGAGGAUACGCGUGGGAUUUCUGCCGGCUACCAUUUUUCUUGCCUACCUUCAUCGUUAUUUAGGAAUCUAUCAUGGGAGGCACCAGCUGUUAAUUUUUUUUAGGAAUACCAACUUUUCUUUAGAACAUUGAGGCUGUUAAAUAUAAUUGGAGAGAAAAAAAUAAGCUUCAAUGGGCCAUAACGCAAGUGGAGGGCUAGGCAUGCUCGCUGGGCCAUAACACGAUCUGGGGCCCAGGCACGGGAGAACCAUCCACGCGAAGAAACGUCUUGAGGAUUGUGCGCAACGAGGUGGCACUGAUUAUAUUAAAAAGAAAACUCUAAAUUAUUAUUAUUAUUCUUUGAACAUAAGAAAACUUUAUUGAUGAUCAGGUGCAUUUUACAGAAAGAAGCAUGAAGGGACUCAUGCUAGAACCAGAAACUAUGUCCUUGCCAGGACAUUGACCUUGAUCUGCUUGUGUACAUAAGCAACUCUAAAUUAUUACCAACACCAAGUCUAGCUGGGCUCGCCGCGCCAUAAAGUACGAAAAGUGGUGGUUGAUGGUUCGGUUCUUGAUAGGACUAAUGAUUUUUCGGGCCAAGUCAAUACGUUUUUUAUAUAAACUAGAACAAUGCCUCUGUGUUGCAACGGGAUAUAAAUACUCUAGUACGUUACCUUGUGACGAAUGAGUGGUGGGAAAAAAGGUGAAAUGAAAACCUUACAUUCUUUUUAAGUAGUAAAGAUAAUAGACCCCACAAAAAAAACUUCUUACGUAUAUAGGAUAAGUACUUCCUCCAUCUCAAAAUUCUUGUCUUAGAUUUGUAUCGAUACAAAUGUAUCUAGUCAUGUUUUUGUGUUAGAUACAUCCGUGUCGAGCUCAGGUGAGGAGGUGAUCCGUCAUUCUUUUCUUAGAUGGUGCAUUGCAACGGGAUAUAAAUAUUCUAGUACGUUACCUUGUGACGAAUGGGUGGUGGGAAGAAAGGUGAAACGGUAACCUUACGUUCUUUUUAAGUAGUAGAGAUAAUAGACCCCGCAAGAUAAGUACUUUCUCCAUCCCAAAAUUCUUGUCUUAGAUUUGUAUCGAUACAAAUUUAUCUAGUCAUGUUUUAGUGUUAGAUACAUCCGCGUCGCGCUCGGGUCAGGAGGUGAUCCGUUAUUCUGUUCUUAGGCGGCUGCUAUGGCAGUGCCAGAGGCAGGUGACACGUGUUGGUGUCAAGCUCAGAGAUGUUCUGCUAUCUUUUCAGUUUUGUCAUGUCGGUUUUUAUGUGACUUGUAUUUUAUUCUUUAUGAUAUGAAUGAGACACAUAUUACCAUGCAAAAAAAAGAUACAUCCGUACCUAAACAAAUCUAAGACAAGAAUUUUAGAACGAAAGUAAUACGUAAUAGCAGAUUAAUUCCACAUGAACUUCUUUCGUCAUACACUUGGCAAGUUGGUGAGAUUGGACUGCCUCCCGUGUCGCUCCAGGGCGACACCAGGGGCGAAGAACCCUAGCGCUCGAAGCCGCCUCUGCUCUUCCCUCCUCGCUGCUGUCGCCAGCGACCGUGCGGCGGCGGCGGGACUUCCCCGUCGCUGGGAUCUUCCUCCCCGUACAUCCCCUCUCCUCCCCAACUCCGGUCCGCCAUCGCUGCCCCAUCCUCCAACGUAGCCAUCACGGAUCCAGCGGGCUGGUCAAUGGAUCCGGGCAUCCCUAGAAUGGAUCUCGCCUCUUCGGUGGUCGUUGCUACUGCUUAGUCCCUGAGCACUGGCUGGGGUGUCCUGCGCCGCCGCAUGUUGGUUCUUCACCCCAUGGUGUGGUGGGCAUGGCGAGAGAACUGGAUGCCUUCCAUCAGCCGGGGCUAGGACCUGGGAGGCACGCUCUUCUCACGAGUAAAUUGCAAAAAAUCACCACAUUUGGGGCUUCAUCUGUGAAAAACCACCAGGUCGUUAAUCAUUUACAAAAAUCACCGCGCAUUCAGGAAACCUUUUGCAAAAAGCACUGAACAGGUGAUUUAGCCCAUUUAAUCACUUUCUGACAUGUGGGGCUGGACUGUAAGGAGCUGACUUGGCAAAAUAAUCACACACAGACCCCUAGUAGAUUUUAAAAAAAGCAAUCAGCCCCCUGGACCAUGCCCGGCAGAGCCCGGCUCCCGUCGCCGCCACCAGAAGACGCCCGCCGACCGGGCGGUCGCGGAGACGAGGAGGAGUCUGUGUGGCAGCGGGUGGGCACACCGGCCAGCGGCCAUCUCCGCAACCACGAGGGCCAGCAGCGCACCGUCGUCAUCGGGGAGCCGUAGCUCCUGUGCAGCGUCCACGGCGUGGACUGCGCAGAGGCGGCCGCCGGGAGCUCGGCCUUCAAGCCACGGCGGCGCCCGCAGGGAUGCUGUGGCCGCGCCUCGGUCUUCUACCAGGGAAGCCCAGCGCCGCUCGACGCCGUGGAUGCGGGCCAACCUCCAUGCGCUUCGGUGCCUCCUCCCCUCCUCCUACAUCCCACUCUGCCCUUGCUCGCGCAGCCGCAGCGAAGCGUCCACGCCCGCAGGAGAGCCCCGCAGCCCCGUGCGCACGCGCCACCGAGCCUCGCGCCGCUCCGACCGGACUUCCCCGCAGCUCACCGCCGCCAGUUCACCGAGCACCACCGCAGCCCCCUCUCCCUCUCCUUCCUCCCCUGUCUCUCACGCAGCUCCCUCUCUCNNNNNNNNNNNNNNNNNNNNNNNNNNNNNNNNNNNNNNNNNNNNNNNNNNNNNNNNNNNNNNNNNNNNNNNNNNNNNNNNNNNNNNNNNNNNNNNNNNNNNNNNNNNNNNNNNNNNNNNNNNNNNNNNNNNNNNNNNNNNNNNNNNNNNNNNNNNNNNNNNNNNNNNNNNNNNNNNNNNNNNNNNNNNNNNNNNNNNNNNNNNNNNNNNNNNNNNNNNNNNNNNNNNNNNNNNNNNNNNNNNNNNNNNNNNNNNNNNNNNNNNNNNNNNNNNNNNNNNNNNNNNNNNNNNNNNNNNNNNNNNNNNNNNNNNNNNNNNNNNNNNNNNNNNNNNNNNNNNNNNNNNNNNNNNNNNNNNNNNNNNNNNNNNNNNNNCCAGGACGCUGGCAAAAGCCGGAUCCGCCGCCGGCCAUUAGCCGCAACCGCCGGGAACAAGCUCCCCUGUAAACGCCAGUUAUGAGCUCGUACAGGCGCGCAGCGCCACGACCAUUCCCGGCGAGGGUGGAGCGAGGAAGGAGAUGCCCUCCGUGGGGGAGGGGGAGGGGCUUGAUUGCUUUUUUUAGAUCCAGGAAGGUAUAUGUCAAUUUGUUACCAAAUCAACUCCUUAUAUUCCGGCCCCACUUGUCAGAAAGUGGUUAAACGGGCUAAUUCACUUGAUCAGUGCUUUUUGCAAAAGGUUUACUGAAUGUGCGGUGAUUUUUGCAAAUGAUUAGCGACCUGGUGGUUUUCCGCAGAUGAAGCCCCAAAUGUGGUGGUUUUUUGCAAUUCACUCCUCCCCUCACACCCAACACUAGUACUUGGUGGAUGGCCGUGCAUCUAAUGGCCAUGGCAUCGGUUGGUCGUUUCAGGAUCCAGGCACAUGUCCAUAGAUCCUGUAGGCCGACAGCACAGCCUCUCUCGCGGGCACACACGCUCGGGCGAGGGCUCGUCUGUCGGUGGGCUAGGUCGUGGUGGAGCUCCCGUCCAUGAUGGUGGCUUGCCCCGAUAUGGUUCUGCCAGAUCUUGGACCUGAGACUCUUCAUAUGACAAGUCAUCUUUCUACUGGAUGUUGAACUCUUGGAUUUGGUCGCUGACGAGUUCCGGUCUUCCCUGUCAGAAAUCUACAUGGAUUGGCAUAUCUUGCCCCUGGAUAUCUAGAUCGAAAAGGCUUCGGUCGCGCGCGCUCAUAUUUUCAGCCAACACGGCCUUAAGAGUGCGCGGCGCGAAGCUUCGCUUUCUUUUGAGUGUCAUGGGACAUGUCUAAGUCAAGAUUCUCAAGGCAUUGAUAGAGGUGGGGUAAGUCAUGACGGCUGCGAUUGGAGGUCUUGAAGCUUCGGUGGAAGGGUAUUUUGAAUGCGAUGAAGAUUGUGUGCCAGGUGUGUGGUGACUUGUUUCAGCGGCCUCGGCAAGCGGGGGCAGCAACACUGGAGGAUUGCAUUUUUUAUGGUGCUCCUCGAGUAUCGAGUAUUGAUUCUCAGGGUGAAAACCCAAGGUCUGGCCUUUAUUGUUUGUACCUGGCAAUGGCCUUGUUGAAGGCAUUGUUUUUGAAUGAACUCGAACUUUCUCCGGGGUGAAAACCCAAGGUUUCAAUCGGAGGGUGCAGGAGGCAUUGUUUUCUUCUUGGACGCGUUGUUUUUGAAGAACCUUUUUUGUAUUCCGGGUGUUGUCUUUGGUGAUGGUUAGAGUGCUGCUGCUAGUGAUUGUUCACCGUGGCGGGGUCUUUUUUUUCUUUCUUCUGUUUUUAUUUUUAUUUUUUUGGUUGUGUGUAUCCUUGAUUUUUUGGACAUCUUAUCGAUAGAGAGGACGGAUGUAAUUGAUAUCUUUACGAUAUUAAUAUAUUCCUUUUAUGAAAAAAAAUACACCUGACAGGUACGCAUGUGUUCGCGACCGAUCACAUGUGGUCCAGCGGCCAGCCACGGCCGAGCGAGCCGCGGGCCGCCCUCGUCACUGACGGCGAGGCUACUAGCGAAUAAAGUAAUUAAGCAUUAAGCAUUAUGGCCUUGGUCUUGGAAGAGAGUUAGCUCAUCGCCAGCAAGGAGGUGCAGGAGGAUCUUCCAGGCCUCCUGCACCCGCAUGAUCAAUGAGCAUUAUUAAGUUAUUAUUUUGAUAUGAAACGCUUUUGCUAAUUCAACAUAUUUUGAUAUGAAAACUGUUCUGCUAAUUCAUGUUAUUUUGAAAUUAAAAACAGUUUUGCUAAUUCAAAGUUGUCGGUGUGGCCGCGCUUGGCAAAGGGGACUUGGAUCUUGAGAGCGAGAAAACCGAUUUUGGUAAGGAGAGAGUGACACGAAUUAGUCAUCCCUUGUUUCCUUGGUGACUUUGAAACACGGUUUUUGAUAUCAAAAUAACUUGGAUAGCAUCUAUAUUGAUGAAAUCAUGAAGUUGCACAGUCAUGUCAAAACUAACUUUUAUUGUUUAUUGAACUUCACCAUAUCUUCCAAGCAUGGCGUUUUGGCACAUCCUUUAAUUCCCUAGGAUGCGCAGCAGCAUUUGCCCUUCUCACAAUAGCUGUUGUAGAAACUGUAGCCAGACCAUUCGCAUGAAACCUUACACAAGGUAACAUUGUAUCCUAUCGGGUUCUCGCAUAACCGUUCAGGUUUGCACACAUCAAUCAAUGCAGUUGUACCU
This 7853-nucleotide long non-coding RNA is filed under the name Triticum aestivum (bread wheat). RNAcentral's name for it is "long non-coding RNA (TAES_LNC024874)". The record is from RNAcentral. Lineage: Eukaryota; Viridiplantae; Streptophyta; Magnoliopsida; Poales; Poaceae.